UCCCUCGUGGUCCAGUGGCCAGAUUCUCCGCUUUCACCGGAGCGGCUGGGGUUCGAUUCUCCGCCAGGGAG
Molecule: non-coding RNA, 71 nt
Organism: Massospora cicadina
Lineage: Eukaryota; Fungi; Entomophthoromycota; Entomophthoromycetes; Entomophthorales; Entomophthoraceae
Source: the annotation of a GenBank genome assembly